This 468-nucleotide ribosomal RNA is filed under the name Coenosia semifumosa. Its description in RNAcentral is "partial 16S ribosomal RNA". It matches the Rfam family "Bacterial large subunit ribosomal RNA", at positions 1922 to 2598 of the family's 2925-position model. Lineage: Eukaryota; Metazoa; Arthropoda; Insecta; Diptera; Muscidae. The record is from RNAcentral.
UUUAAAUGGCCGCAGUAUACUAACUGUGCAAAGGUAGCAUAAUCAUUAGUCUUUUAAUUGAAGGCUGGUAUGAAUGGUUGAACGAGAUAUUAACUGUUUCAUAAAUAUUUAUAUUAGAAUUUUAUUUUUUAGUCAAAAAGCUAAAAUUUAUUUAAAAGACGAGAAGACCCUAUAAAUCUUUAUAUUUAGAUUAUUAUAAUUUUAUAGAUUUUUUAUUAUUUUAAUAAUUAAUAAUAUUUUAUUGGGGUGAUAUUAAAAUUUAAUUAACUUUUAAUUUAUAUAAUCAUUAAUUAAUGAAUAAUUGAUCCGUUAUUAACGAUUAAAAAUUUAAGUUACUUUAGGGAUAACAGCGUAAUUUUUUUGGAGAGUUCUUAUCGAUAAAAAAGAUUGCGACCUCGAUGUUGGAUUAAGAUAUAAUUUUAGGUGUAGUAGCUUAAAUUUUAAGUCUGUUCGACUUUUAAUUUCUUA